AGACAAUGUCAGAAAGUCACCCCCUUGCCCAGCGUCUGACUGCUGGCUUGUCCGAACUAUUAGCCCGCCAGCUUUUACCAUACAAGCUGGUGGAGUCUGAGGCGUUCAAAAAAUUUGUAGCUAUUGGGACACCGCAGUGGAAGGUACCCGGCCGAAAUUACUUUUCACAAAAGGCAAUCCCCAACCUGUACUCAAUUGUGCAAAAGGAAGUAAUAGCAUCUCUGGCACACAGUGUUGGGGCAAGGGUCCA
Pelobates cultripes (western spadefoot toad) is the source of this 250-nucleotide non-coding RNA. NCBI's taxonomy places the organism in Eukaryota, Metazoa, Chordata, Amphibia, Anura, Pelobatidae. The record is from the annotation of a GenBank genome assembly.